This 1950-nucleotide long non-coding RNA is filed under the name Macaca fascicularis (crab-eating macaque). RNAcentral describes it as "lncRNA (ENSMFAG00000062993.1)". Lineage: Eukaryota; Metazoa; Chordata; Mammalia; Primates; Cercopithecidae. The record is from RNAcentral.
CAGAGCACAUGGAAGGGAUAUGGAGGGGGCAGUAGGUACUGACAGCAUCUGUCACACACCCGUAUGAUACCACACUCGUCACACUUGUAGUACCCAGUGAUAAAGAUAAUUUAUUGUGACAGAAAAGUAACUCUGAGUUCCAAAAUGGUCUUGAAAUAAAUGUGCAUCUAAUUCCAUCACCAUUUACAUACAUUGGAAAACCAGACAUGCCAAUGUGUUUGCAAGAAAUAUUCAUUUAGAUUCACAGAGCUCUUGGUCUAAACCCAGGAUCUUGGUGGGAGAGGGAGGCGGGGGUCUUUGGCCUCUGGGAUUCAUUGUAUCAACCACUAGCAAUCUUUGGAAUGGGCCAGCUGCUCUCUAGGCCAGAGCUGUUAGGGCUGGAGCCGGGGAGCCCAUUUGGACGGUUGAAGAACUCUGUAAAACUAUCUUAUGCACCUGCAGGUAAAGUCACAUUUUGGGGUUAUCAAAGUCUAAAUGAAAUGGUACACGGUAUAAUUAAUGCUGGAUUGGGAAGGAGAAAACUUGCUCAUUAUAUACCCACUGCUGUCAUUAUUGUGACAGAACGAUCUUCCACUGGCCCCACCAGAGGCCACCUCUGCAAAGGCCACGGCUACCAUCCUCACCCACAGUUGCUGCCUCACUCGUGGGUUCUUUCAUGUGGCUGUGUGAACAACAUAGGUGACCUCCCCUGUGCUCUCUCUAAGCCACUGUAAAAACCUGAUUCCUCAGUGCAUGGGAAGUUCCCGUGGCCCUGCCUGUUCUCGGAUGUGGCGUUGACCCGAAGGGCACCGAUGUUCUGCUCAAGCGCAGAAGGGCUGAGUUUUGCAGCGUCAGGAAAUACAUUUGUGCAGUGACUAUAAGAUCCCCCUGACAUCUUGGUUUGUGGGAAAGGCAGGUUUUCUUUUUUCUGUAACUUAAAUUUAGCUCUCAAGACCCCGUUUUUGCUGGUGGUGGGACAUACCUGUAUUAAUCUUGCCAAGUCAAGGUAAACUCCAGUUAUUUGUCAUUUAAAGCAUAACACCUUUGAAGUAACUCUUUAGAUAAUUCAUCAUUCUCAGAUCAAUUCCAGGAGCUUCCCCUCCGUGUCUGCCCACUCGGGUCACCCCCUUUCUUGGCAUUGGUGAUGGCACCCCCUCCAGAAAAAUGCCACCCUUGUUCUGGCAGGAUCUGACUUCCAAUCCUCCCACAGCUUAUGUCCCCUUGUCCCUCAGUUCAGGGACCCCAUGGCUGGCAUUCUCAAUACUUCCCUGCUAGGCACCUGGAAAUACUCACUCUUCGCCCAUAUCCCACUGGGCUAAGGCCAUCUAAGACCUCAUUGAGGGCUGGGUGCAUGAUUCACCUUCUCUCCUGUCCUCCCCCAAUUCCUGGGGUCUUCAGUGUUUUGUUUUAAUAAGGAGCCCAUUUUCUCACUCCGGCUUUGUGGAACAAACCAUGAGGAGCAACCAUGAGACCCCAGGAGGGACUCCACAGUCUGACUGUGUACACAUGGGGACCAUAUGCACGACUUAGAUCCAUCCUUCACCCAAUGAGAUUCAAUUUAGAAACAGCUCAGAUAUCUCCUCCCUAACAAGUUUAGCCUUCUGAUUGUCCUGUCAAAAGAGAACAGUGUCCUGGUGCCUACUUGAUCUGUCAAAAAAUAUUUUUCUGGCCAGGCACAGUGGUUCAUGCCUGGAAUCCCAGCACUUCGGGAGACUGAGGCAGGCGAGUCACUUGAGGUCAGUUCGAGACCAGCCUGGCCAACUUGGUGAAACCCCGUCUCUACCAAAAAUACAAAAAUUAGCCAGGCGUGGUGGUGCACACCUGUAAUCCCAGCUACUCAGGAGGCUAAGACAGGAGAAUUGCUUGAACCCAGGAGGUGGAGGUUGCAGUGAGCAGAGAUCGUACCAGUGCACUGCAACCUGGGUGACAAAGCAAGACUCUGCCUCAAAAAAAACAAAAAAAAACAAAAAA